AAUAGAUACCCAGGUAGUCCACGCCGUAAACGGUGGGUGCUAGGUGUGGGAGACUAUCUACGUUUUCCGCGCCGCAGCUAACGCAUUAAGCACCCCGCCUGGGGAGUACGGCCGCAAGGCUAAAACUCAAAGGAAUUGACGGGGGCCCGCACAAGCGGCGGAGCAUGCGGCUUAAUUCGAUGCAACGCGAAGAACCUUACCUAGGCUUGACAUAUACGGGAAGCAGGCAGAGAUGUCUGUGCCUUCGGGCUCGUAUACAGGUGGUGCAUGGCUGUCGUCGGCUCGUGUCGUGAGAUGUUGGGUUAAGUCCCGCAACGAGCGCAACCCUCGUCCUAUGUUGCCAGCGGGUAAUGCCGGGGACUCAUAGGAGACUGCCGGGGUCAACUCGGAGGAAGGUGGGGACGACGUCAAGUCAUCAUGCCCCUUACGUCUAGGGCUGCACGCAUGCUACAAUGGCCGGUACAAAGGGCUGCAAUACCGCAAGGUUGAGCGAAUCCCAAAAAGCCGGUCUCAGUUCGGAUUGGGGU
Molecule: ribosomal RNA, 527 nt
Filed under: uncultured bacterium
Lineage: Bacteria
Description: bacterial SSU rRNA
Rfam family: Bacterial small subunit ribosomal RNA
Source: RNAcentral